UCUGCCUCUUUGUCUAUCUGC
This 21-nucleotide microRNA is filed under the name Gallus gallus (chicken). Its description in RNAcentral is "gga-miR-12259-3p". The record is from miRBase by way of RNAcentral. Lineage: Eukaryota; Metazoa; Chordata; Aves; Galliformes; Phasianidae.